ACUAGAAUUUGUACUUUUACUAAGAAAGUGGAGGUGAAGUCGCGGUGGCUGGGCGGGUUAGGCGGCUGGCUUUGUGUGCUAGCGAUUACGUGCUUGACUCUGAGGGUGUGGGUUCGAAUCCCAGAUGGGAUUCAACCCAACAAUAGGACUAGAAUUUGUACUUUACUAAGAAAG
Haliotis rubra (blacklip abalone) is the source of this 174-nucleotide long non-coding RNA. RefSeq lists it as uncharacterized. The record is from RefSeq and is a predicted model, not a curated record. The transcript has 3 exons. NCBI's taxonomy places the organism in Eukaryota, Metazoa, Mollusca, Gastropoda, Lepetellida, Haliotidae.